Molecule: long non-coding RNA, 1345 nt
Organism: Erigeron canadensis
Lineage: Eukaryota; Viridiplantae; Streptophyta; Magnoliopsida; Asterales; Asteraceae
Exons: 3
Source: RefSeq, a predicted model, not a curated record
UCGGUCAUAGAGAAGUCUUGUCAAGGGUUUAUAAGGCACCGGGAGGCAACCCAUAUCGUCCCUUCGGGGACAUCCGAUAAAAUUGGAACGAUACAGAGAAGAUUAGCAUGGCCCCUGCGCAAGGAUGACACGCACAAAUCGAGAAAUGGUCCAAAUUUUUUUCCUCUCAUUCAUGCCCAGCGGUGAUGCAGGUUAGGAAAUUUAUUUGGACUGUUGGGAACUUUGGAUGUCAUUUCAUCACCAAUGACAGUUUAGUAACUGCCUCCACUUUAUAACAUGCUAGAAGUUGCACCCUUGUAUUUACAUUAAUAAUCAAUCAGCUGUUUCAAACCCUGAAGGUUUGAGUGUCAUCAGCUUUUUCCUCUUAAUUCAGGUGAGAGGUAGAAGAAACACAUCUCCUCUUUGUAAAUUGCUGCCUUCCACUUCAAUAUCGUUAGUACUGUCAACUGUGUGGUUUGUCCACAAAGUUUAUGCUGUAUAGGAUCCAUGAUAGUGAGUGUAAGCUAUUUGGCUUCAGCAUGACAAUUUCCAAAUGCCUAAAAGGUACAUUCUCAUUUUCGUAUGGUGGGGGUGAUGUAAAGUGUGAUCUACACUUCAGUAUGGGAUAUGAUUGGGUGAUAGUAUUUGUUGAUAAUUUAUCUUUUCAGUCCUUUUCACUGUAAAAUCCUCCAAAAGUCAGUUACAUAUCUUGCACUUUUUGGUUUUAAUCAUAAUGAUGAGCAGAUCAUAGGAACACCUUUACAGAUACUCUGCAGAGUCAAUUUACAUUCAUUAGGAGUCCAGAAGCCUCCUAUAGCCUUAUGUGCUGCUACUUUUAGGCAGCCAACUUGACAAUACACCCUAUUCAUGUACUUCAGCUGUGAUUCCUUUUAAGUUUUGAACAUGUUUCUAGCGAACGGAGGUUAAAGACUAAGCCUGAACCUGAUUGAACCUCCCAUAUGAAUCGUUGCUUGCUGUUUGUCAACCAUUCUGCCAGCGGUUUUGAAAUAGCCCCUUUCACUGAGAAAAAGCAAGAGACUGCGUAAACAACGAUGAUUGACAUGCUGUUUAUUCGCUAGACAAUCCUUGGGAGAUUCAGACUGUCUGCAAGAAACCAAGUGAUAUACGAUUGUGCAUUUGAAAUCAAGCAUGCCACAGGCUCAUCAUCUUGCAACUCAGUCAAGCAACCUUCAGAAAUGGUUCAUGCUGCUUUUGUUAUAAUGUUAUAUAACGGAAUCAUUGGUUCCACUAGUUGGGGGUAGUUCGAUUGAAUUUGUUCGCAUGUGCCUAUGUAUGUAUCUCUCUCUAACCAAAAUCAUGAUGAUUAUUGGAGAUGUCCAAACUAAUUGAGAAGUUUAUUUAAGUA